AGUUACAUGAUUGUAAAAUUUUAAGUUAAUCGGUAACAUCAGCUCAUAGGUAAUAUUUAAUUUGAACAAUACGCGUAAUGAAUAAAAAUCAAAGUAAAAUUUAAUAUUGUCGAAUCUGUCAUUAAUAAUCUUAACGAUUUUAACCAACAACAAUUUUUUUUUUUUUUUGCAAGAGUGCAAUACUCUUGCAGUUUUAUUCUUGUUGUUGCAAGAUUCUUGCAUUUUGAGUCUUGGUCUUGGUCUUGUUCUUGCAAGUCUAGUCUUGUUCUUGUUCUUGGUCUUGCUAAAAAAGUCUUGGUCUUGUUCUUGUCAAUUGAGUACAGUCUUGAUGUUGGUCUUGCUGAUAUUAUUACAGUCUUGGUCUUGUUCUUGGUUUCGUAGAAAUGCAAGACCAAGCCAAGACCGCAAGAACAAGAGUAAUUCUGCUCAUCACUAAUCGGGAUACGCGAGAAUAAUAACACGUGCCGCAUGGAACGUUACAAACACACAUCACACAACACACAUACAAGUGAAACUAAUAUAAGCGUGUUAAAAAAACACUUUAUAGUAAAAUCAAUACCAUUUCAGCUUCGCAUUGAAGCUAAAAAACAUACAACGGCAAUGGGUCACGUAGCUUGAAGGAUUAACAAAUAUCUUAAAUAAGGAAAGACGGGAUAAGAUGAAGAAUUCAGUUUUUUUUUUAAAUUAAUAACUAGUUAGCAUUAAAGCCUCUUAUAGUAUAUUUUGUUACACACUAGUUCUAACAUACGUGCACGCACGUUAAUUUUAGAUGUGUUUAGGUGUGUAAAAAAUAUUUUUUUAAUUUUUCUUUUAAAAAUUCCAAAAAAAUUACUUUAGACUGGAAACGUGGAACUUUUUAAUAUCAAAAGGAGGAUUUUCUGCUACUAAUGUAAUGGGUUGUUUGUAUUUGAAGAAAUGGAAAAAGAUAUAGUGAGCCAAAAGUAAGGUUUUAGUUAUGAUAUAAUAAGAUAAAUAAAAUUGGGUGUGUUGAUUAAUCAAUUUGAAUUUUUGAGAACUUGAAUAAAUUUAAUCAUUUUACUUUCGGUUACUAUAAUUUAGUUUGUUUAAUAUUAUUGGGGUCGUGGAGUACGAGGGUUUAGAGAAUGACAAUACAAUCAGAUAAAAGGAUUAUGAUGAAUAUUGAAAUUUAAUGUAUGUAUCAAAUUUAUAAACUUUGGUAAAUCAUUUGAAUAGUCUCACGUUUCAAAGAGCACGAGCUUAUGUCAGCAACUAUGAAACGUAAUAAGAAAAUGCGUAGGUACGAUCUUUGGUCAAGCACUUCGAACGCAUUUAAUAAUUCUCCUGACAAACCAGUUAAUAAAUUUAAUAUGUCUAAAGAUAAAUUAAUUAUUAUUGUUUUGUCAUUUUCUUCUCGGAUUAAAUAAUUUCAAAUUAUUGGAAUUACAAUGUAUCACUUACUUUAUAAUGUUUUUUGUGGAAUUGAAAUGAACAAGACUGACUAGUUUUUCUUUCUGAAUAUUUGAAAGACCUGUGGUCAAUUGCUGUAUUUGAUUCUUGACUUAAAAAUGGAAUGAGUGAGUUGAGCUAAGUGAGUGAAUUGUAUAGCUUUUUACGGCUUUUUAUAAGAAAUCUAUGAUCUAUAUAUGUCACCAAAAUGUAAGAAUUGACCACCAGGGCUUUCAUCUUUAUUGAAACGAAAAUUAUAAGCAGGGAUAAUAUAUUACAUUGGUUAUGGUACAUUUGAUUUUUCUUGGGGAUACUGUUACUUAAUACAUUGUCUUUGUAGAUUAAUUUACAGUGUUUACAUUUAUGAUACAGAUAUUAAUCUUAAACUGAACAAGUACAUACAUUGUAUUAAUUACAUCAGUGAUUAUGCUAUGAUAUCAAUUUAAGAUAAUUAUUUUAUUUUGUGAUAAACAUUGCGAAUAAUAUUAAAUUUGAGCGAUGAACGAUAUACACUUAUUUUAAUUAAUAUAAAUAUAUGAAAAUAUAUUAAAGUUGUUCUGAAAAUCAAAUCUUAAAAUGUAGAGGAGCCGGGGGUAGCUUACAUCCUAAAAGUAGCAAAAAAUAAUUAUCAAUUACUAAACAAAAUAACAAUUUUAAAAUAAAUAUAUGUUUAACAUUUUUAUUAGGCUAGUCAACAAAGGAAAAAUAGCGGAAAAAAUUCCCAACCAAAUUUUUUUUUUUUUUUAAAGUUGAAUUAAGAUAUGUAUAAUGACAUACUUAUAGUCCUCAUCGAUUGGACUUGAGAUUUUUUUUUUACAGCCUCGCAAAAGAUCAAAAAUGUGAGCUUUUUUCAUUUUCUCAAAAAAUAUUUAACUUACAAAAAAAAGUUGUCCUCAUAUCGCAUUCAAUAACAUCCCUCAAUCACUUUUUUGGUCUUCCUCUACCUCUUCUUUCUUCAACAUUCAUUUCUAUAACUGUUCUUACAGCUUCCGAUUCUUCUCUCAUCAUAACAUGACUAAAACAUCCAAGUCUAUUUUCUCUCAUCUUAUCCACGAUUAACGCUACACUUAUACUACCUCUUACAUGCUCGUUCCUUAUUCUAUCUUUUAUAGUCACUCCACUCAUCCAACUAUGCAUUUUCAUCUCUGCUACACUCAUUCUCUGCUCUAUUUUCUUAUUAAUCACCCAACACUCUGAACCAUACACCAUUGCUGGUCUCACUACAUUGUUGUAGAAUUUACCUUUUAGCCUCAUUGGAAUUCUUUUAUCGCAUAAGACAUCAGACGCUUCUCUCUACUUCAACCAUCCGCACUUAAUCCUGUGUCUUACAUUCUCGUGAAUACCACCGCUCUUUUGCACUACUGAUCCUAAAUACUUAAAAAUUUCUACCUCCCCAUUCACAGUCCCGCCUAUUGUCACUGAUCUCCUCAUUUCACCUACCUCAUGUUCUCUUUUGUCAACCCAGCCAAAAUUUCUGGUAAUGAUAAAAUUAAUUGUCAUAGUGUUUAAAAUUGGUCUUGUUCUAGUAAACUCAAUGGCAGAUAAUAACUUUCAUGAUAUAAAUAGGUCAAAAAAAGUUAUAACUGUAUCCUCAAUAACUUCAAAACCCAUUGCUACUAUUUCAACUAAUCGCUAUUAAAAAAAAAAACCGGCAGUGUCCCGGCACAUUGUGUAUAAUUGGGUGCAGUAUAGAUGAUAUGUUACAGUGAUUAAAAUCAUUAUCAAAAACAACGUCUAGAUGCAAAUCUGUAGAUAGUGUUUAAUUUUAAAAUAUUAAUGGAUUAUUACAAAAGCUACAUGAUCUCCUAUUUCCUUAUUUAUAGCCUAAAUACAAGUUAUAUGCAUUACUAGUGCAAAGUAUGUAAUCAAUGGAGGAUUUCUCCACUAUAAAGUUAUUUGACAAAUGUAUCAAACAAAAUUUUUUUCCAUUUUCUUAUUCAUUUUCCCAUUCUAAAUUUUGAGAGAAUAUAUCUUCAACAAAAGUACAAUUUUCUUAAUCUUCAAUCUUUAUUUCUAUUGAAUUUGUACACCAUUGACCUUUGCAAUGUUCACAUAUAAUAGAAAAAUUAAGCCCUGUGUUUCGGCAACCACAAUUUUUAGCACCUCCAGCACCAGACUAAAGGCCGUUUUAUGACAAUUAUCUAUAUUAUUAGCAGAAAUUCCGGUGGCAAUUGACAUAAUAUAAUUGUUGUUUGGGAAUGUACAAUUUAGCGUUUAGUUGGGUUUAAACAAUAUAGCGUCAAAUCAAUUACCUACACUAUCGGUUGUAUCUUAAUAUACACUACACUUUAAUGAUACUAUAAAUAAAUAAACUCACACAUACACACAUAUGCAUUUAUAACAUUGUGUCUAAUGUAAAUAUAACAUGAUAAAAUGUAACCGUAUAAUGAAAAAAAUUGGAAAAUAAAUUUUAGUACUCAUAUUAAAUGUAAUGUAACUCGAAAAAUAUUUGUUUAAAUGAAAAAAUUUAAGAUACACUUUUUUUAAAUUGUUUUUUAAACAACUUUUGUACGAAACUUUUUUUUGUAAGUUAAAUAUUUUUUGAGAAAAUUAAAAAAGCUCAUAUUUUUGAACUUUUGUGAAGCUGUAAAAAAAAAAAAGCUCAAGUCCAAUCGAUGAGGACUUUUAGUAUGUCAUUAUCAAUAUCUUAAUUCAACUUUUUAAAAAAAAAAUUUUGGUUGGGAAUUUUUUCCGCCAUUCGCCAAAAUUACUCCUUCGUUGACUGGCCUAUAUCUGUAUGUUGAUGAUCUGAAUACAAUGAAUAGAAAGAAACUGACCUGAGUUAUUUGAUUUUAAGUGAAAAUAAAAACACUAACAGAAGAUAAAAUAGUGAAUGUAAUAUAGUGACGAAUAUUUGUAAAUGUUUGUAACUAUAGUACAUAAAUUGAUAGCCAUUUUCAUAAACUACCGAAUCAAUGACAAAAGCACACAAAUAUGGGUAUACAAACAAACCAAAUGAAUUGUGGUAAGACUUGACUGAGGUAUUGAUAGUAAAAGUAAUCAAAAAUUGUAUAACUCAAUUAUCGAGUUAAAACGUAAGAGAAGAUAGUACAUAAGAGUGUAAAGACGAUUCGUAAAAAUAAAAAAAAAAUGACAGAUAUUCGUUGUAAAAGGGACGACGGUUGACAAGACGAACCGGUCACAUGGGUGCAUUAUGGGAAGUUAAGGACAAGGUGUUAAAGAUGUCACUCUUUACCUUACAAUAUUAAUUCAUAAAGACCCAUUUCUUUUACAUUAGUUUUGGUUACAAAGUUUUACAAUCGUUUUCAUCAUAUUGUCCCAUAGUUGGGAAAAAAGACAAUUUUCAGGAAAACUCAUGUUUUACCUUUUAAAAAUGAAAAAAACGAUUGAAAAACUUUGUUGUAUUACGCUAAAUAUUGAAGUAAUAUUCAGGUAAAUUUCAAAUUUUAAAUCCAUUCAAAGAAAUCAGAAAAAAUGGUAGAAGUCUAACCUCGCCAUCUUACCUCACCUAACCCUAAAUUAUGCUUAAAGCUACAUUUUGUGAACUGGCAUACUUGAGAUUGGAAUGUGUUUUUUAGCUUCGGUGCGAAGCUGAGAAGUUUUCGCUGGACCGAUUUUGAUGAACAAUAUGUCAAAAGAUCACAAAUCGUAUCUAGUCGAAGACAUAACCCUCAAAAAUUGAAAAAAUUCCCUCGUUUCCUGUAAACAGGGGAAAUCCCCAAAAAAAUUACAAAUUUAAAAAUCGCUAAUUUUCGACAUUUCUUCAAUUUUUUUUACUUAAAAUUGGCAUAACUUUUUUAAAAAUAACUGAAUCAAUAUAUUUUUUUUUUUAUAGACACCUUAGAUAUAUACCUAUCAUUUUAUAUAUAUUUUUGUGAACAUUUGACCCUUUAACAGCUCACAGGAAAAGUUUCAAAAUGAUAACUUUAUUACAAAAAAUUAACUUUUUGAACUUAACUUUUGAAAAUGUUCCGGAAAGACUGACACUUAUAAAAUACCUUAAAUUAAAGCUAAAGUAAUAUACUUUAAAAAAAAAAAAAUUUGAUCUUUGGACUUGUCUUCAUGGUGAAAAUGACUACCGUAUGCAAAAAUAUGCUAUUUUUGUGAAAAAAUUCUUAAUAUUAUAUUUUACAUUUUUGCUUCGAUGCAAAGCUGAAAAGGUAUUGAUUUUACUAUGACGUGUUUUUUUUUCCAGGCGUUUACUAUUAACAUCACAUUUAAAUAUGACCACAUAACACCAUAGAACUAUGUACAAUUCGUUAAUGGCUAGUUAACGAACAAAAAUUCGAUUAUGGUAACUAACGACCAAAACAGUGGUUAAUUUUCUUUUUGUGUCUGUUACCACUUUUUCUCAGCUCUAACCGAACGGAUUUCAUUCAACGAUACGUCAAAAGAUCACAAUUUGUAUCUAGUCGAAGAAAUUUCCCUCGUUCCCCGUAAAUGGGGGAAACCUCCAAAAAAAUUACAAAUUUAAAAAUCGCUAAUUUCUGAAAUUUUUUCAACUUUUUUUACUAAAAAUUGCCAUAACUGUUUCAAAAAUGAUCAUAUCAAUAUAAUUUUUUUUUUAUAGAUGCAUGAUGUCUUUACCUAUCCUUUGGUAUAUUUUUUUUAUAAAUCUGACUUUUUACCUGCCUACAGGGGGGGAUUCAAAAUGACAACUUUUUCACAAAAAAUUGACUUUUUCAACUUAAAUUUUGAAAGUGUUCCGGAAAGUCUGACACUUUUAUAUAUAUCUUAAAUUAAAGCUAAUGUAAUAUACUUUAUAAUGGUAAAAAAAAAUUUCGGACUUUAUUUUAUCUUCAUGGUGAAAACAGACAUUAAACUUAAUAAAAAAAAUACGAUUUUUGUAAAAAAAUUCUUUUUUAUAUUUUUAACUUUAUAAUGCUAUAACUUCUCGAAAGAUGUAUGGAUCAAUAUAAUUUUUUUUUUUAUAGAUGCAUGAUGUCUUUACCUAUCAUUUGGUAUAUUUUUUUUAUAAAUCUGACUUUUUACCUGCCUACAGGGGGGGAUUCAAAAUGACAACUUUUUCACAAAAAAUUGACUUUUUCAACUUAAAUUUUGAAAGUGUUCCGGAAAGUCUGACACUUAUAUAUAUAUUUAUUAAAUUAAAGCUAAUGUAAUCUACUUUAUUAUGUAAAAAAAAAAUUUCGGAUUUUAUUUUGUCUUCACGGUGAAAAUGCCUACCAAAUGCUAUUAUUGUGUGAAAAUUCUCAAUUUUAUUUUUUACAUUUUUAACAUUAUAAUGCUAUAACUUAUUGAAAAGUGUAUUGAUCAACAUAAUUUUUUUUGGAGAAAUAAUAUUUUUUAAUAUUCCCUUUUUCUUUUGAUAUACUUUAUCUUAAUCAGGAUAUAUUUAAGGAACUAGUAGAUCAUGUAGCUUUUGGAAUAACACACCCAUUUUUUAAAAUUAAACACUAUCUAAAGAUUUGCAUCGAAGUGUUUUUUUUUUAUAGUAAUUUUAAUCACUGUCAGAUAUCAUUAUACUUGAUCCAACUAUCCCACGUCACCACUGUUCCGUGACCUCCCUGUGCUGGGUUUUUUUUAUUUUAAAAUACUAUAACUUUUUAAAAAAAUGUAUGGAUUAAUACAAUUUUUUCAUGAAAAAUAAUAUUUUUUAAUAAUCCCUUUUUCAUUCAGGAUAUUAAUAAGAAAAUAGCAGAUCAUGAAUAAUCCACCAAUUUUACUAAAAUUUUUCUUAAAUUCUAUUCUACAAAAUAGCUAUCUUAGUUUUUUUUUUACAUUUUAUUUAAAAUUUAAAAAUAAUUAAUAUUUUUAAUAAAAUGUAAAAAAAUUAAUUAUUGAUAUAUAGCUAUAGACAUAACGUAUAACUAUUAUUAAAAAAAAAAAACCAACUAAAAAUAUUAACUGGAUCAAAAGUUAUUUAAGUUGUCAG
Long non-coding RNA from Daktulosphaira vitifoliae (grape phylloxera), 7261 nucleotides. RefSeq lists it as uncharacterized. NCBI's taxonomy places the organism in Eukaryota, Metazoa, Arthropoda, Insecta, Hemiptera, Phylloxeridae. The record is from RefSeq and is a predicted model, not a curated record. The transcript is spliced from 2 exons.